This 435-nucleotide long non-coding RNA is filed under the name Lupinus angustifolius (narrow-leaved blue lupine). RNAcentral describes it as "long non-coding RNA (LANG_LNC001230)". The record is from RNAcentral. Lineage: Eukaryota; Viridiplantae; Streptophyta; Magnoliopsida; Fabales; Fabaceae.
GUCUGACAAGAUUGACUUUGGUCCUACGUAUCCCUAUUAAGGGAAUCAAGGCUUACGUAGUUCUUUAAGUAGAAAAAGGUUUGUUGGUUGGAUUGAUUUUAGAAAAUAUAAGUGUUAGAUCUCGACUAACAAUCCUGCUAAUACAAGUGAAGUACAGCCCAUACGUCCGAUACCGCAUUUUGUAUUAAGGGUUAGUUAAGAUCUUAACAUGUUUCUGAAUAAAAGAUUUUUGAGUCGUUGGUGAUUUAGUCAUGAUGAUCAUUAAAUUGAUGAAGUGCAGCCCAUAUGUCCGUCACCGCAUCAUAUCUUAAAAUUAGAGUGAUUGUCGUCUUAGAAUUAAUAAUGAAAUUAUCAUAAAAAAUGUAGUAAUUAUUUUAAGGACAUUGAUAAAAAUUUCAAAAUGGUAUAACAUGCUAAUAGAAAUGUGAUUUUUUC